GAUGAACGCUAGCGGCAGGCCUAAUACAUGCAAGUCGAACGCUCAGUAGCAAUACUGGGAGUGGCGCACGGGUGCGUAACGCGUACACAAUCUACCUCUAAGCGGGGACACCUCCUGGAAACGGGGAUUAAUACCGCAUAAUAUGCCGAGGUCGCAUGACUUUGGUAUUAAAGCAGCAAUGCACUUAGAGAUGAGUGUGCGUCCCAUUAGGUAGUUGGUGAGGUAACGGCUCACCAAGCCUAUGAUGGGUAGCCGGUCUGAGAGGAUGGUCGGCCACACGGGCACUGAGACACGGGCCCGAUCCUACGGGAGGCAGCAGUAAGG
RNAcentral lists this ribosomal RNA (324 nucleotides) under uncultured bacterium. RNAcentral's name for it is "bacterial SSU rRNA". It matches the Rfam family "Bacterial small subunit ribosomal RNA", at positions 28 to 359 of the family's 1533-position model. The record is from RNAcentral.